CCUACGGGAGGCAGCAGUGAGGAAUAUUGGUCAAUGGGCGAGAGCCUGAACCAGCCAAGUAGCGUGCAGGAAGACGGCCCUAUGGGUUGUAAACUGCUUUUAUACGGGGAUAAAGUGAGCCACGUGUGGCUUAUUGCAGGUACCGUAUGAAUAAGGACCGGCUAAUUCCGUGCCAGCAGC
RNAcentral lists this ribosomal RNA (180 nucleotides) under uncultured bacterium. RNAcentral's name for it is "partial 16S ribosomal RNA". It matches the Rfam family "Bacterial small subunit ribosomal RNA", at positions 338 to 515 of the family's 1533-position model. The record is from RNAcentral.